UUAUUUUAUUUUUUGUACCGCAGAAUUGGAUCAUUGAGAGUUAGGAGUUCUGAAAUUAUGAUGUGAUUAUGAAAUAUGAACUGUGAUUGCACAUAAUCUAUGAUUUUACAUAAUCCUAGGUUCCUAUAUUUGUCUAUUUUGCCCUAAUAUAUUCACUUAAAUCUUGAUUGUACUAGCAUAGUGAUUUCUCUGGGUGCAAAACUUGUACAUAUGCUGAUGGAUGCAUGUAAUUGUUUAAAAGGAUGGAGGAUCCAUGCAACAGGUGAGGGGGGAGGGAAAAUAGAUAGAUAGAUAGAUUGAAGAUUAGACAAGCACCAUAUCUUUUUCAUAAAUAAGUGAAGAACUUUGGGAGGAAUUUUUUAUUCUAUUCCAAGUGAAUUGAUCUUUACAAGGUUUGAGUACUUAUAUAUAAAGAAUCAACGUAAAUUAGGAAUAUUUACAAUAAAAAUAAAAUCUCUUAAAUCAAACCUAAUUAGGAUCCCAAAAAUUUAAAUCCUCUUAAUUAGGAACCUUCUAUGUUGGUCAACACUCUCCCUCAAAUUGGUGCGUAGAUAUCACACAUGCCCAACUUGCAAAGCAAGAUAUGAUAGGUCUUGUUGCUGAGCCCUUUAGUAAAUAUAUCAGCUAGCUGUUGAUCGGAAGUCACAUGAUCUAACUUCAAGACACCAUUUAUUAACUUCUCUUUAAAGAAGUGUUGAUCAAUCUCUAUGUGCUUUGUUCGGUCAUGUUGAACCGGAUUGUAAACUAUACUGAUGACAGUUUUGUUGUCACAGUAUAAGAGGAGUUUGUCCCUCUCCAAUAGUUUUAAUUCCUCCGACAAUCUUUGCAACCGUAGGAGUUCACAAACACAAUUUUGGGCAUUAGUGUAAGGACAACUAGUUUGAUGCAGUAUUUCAUUAAACUCCAGAUAAGUAGAAAAAUGGCCAUCCAUAUACUCUGUACCAUUAUCAGUUCUCAAAACUUUUAUCUUAGCAUCAAAUUUAGUACAAAUCAUCUUAUGAAAAGAUUGAAAGCAAGAAAUCACAUCACUCUUAUUUUUUUAAAAAAAGAAAAUCACCUCACUCUUUGCCUUUAUCAAAUAAAUCCAAGUCAUGCGAGUGCAACAAUCAAUAAAAGUAACAAACCAACGAUUACCAGAUGUGAGACUGUUUGAGUAGGUCCCCAAACAUCAGAAUGGAUGGUCACAAAAGGGAUCGUACGCCUAUUGUUACUGGAGCGAUAAGAGGUUCUUGUAUGCUUAGCAUACUCACAAGCAUUACAAACUAAAGAACCACAUUGAACCUUAGAAAAUAAAUCAGGAUAAAUUUUCUCUAAAACAAAGAAGGAUAGGUGUCCUAAUCGUCGAUGCUACUAUAUGAUUUCCUUGUUGACAUCUUAAUUCUUUCAAACAGAGUGCGAGGUGAAUUCAAACUCAGAUUCCCUUCAAAUAUAUAUAAGCCUUGUGCAAUCUACCAUUGGCAAUCCUAUUUCCAGUUUGAAGGUCCUGAAUAACACAAUGGUAAGGAAAAAAAAUUCAAUUUUACAGUUAAGUAUUUUGGUGAGAGUACUAAUAGAUAAAAGAUUAACAGGUAAACAAGGAAUAUGAAGAACAGAUGAUAGCUUGAUAUUUGGAGUACAAAUAAUAGAACUGGUUCCAGAUAUAAGAGUGAAAGAACCAUUUGCGAUUCUAACAGUGUCUUUCUGUAGACAUGAAAUAUAAUUAAGAAAGUCUUCAGAGGAGCCCGUCAUAUAUCUAUUUACACCAGAAUCAAUAAUCCAUAGAGUAGAAUCAAGAGACAAAACAAAAGUAUUAUCAAAAGUCCUUACAUUACCUAAACAAGUCACUGCCAUUUAAAAAAAAAACUACCAUUUUUUUGUUAGAAACAGUAGAAAAUUAUUAUUACUAAAGAAAAAAUUACUGUUCAUCGGCGAAAAAGACACGGGUCCAGUAUAUCAGAAGCGCGACUUGAAGGCAAAUUUACUGGAAAGGAUUACUACCGAAAAAACCAUCAGAAAACAUCUCCCAUGCAGGAAAAAGGUGAACCAAGUCACGGGUCCACACAGGUCAAAAGCGCGACUUAAAGGCGAGCCCGCUGAAAAGGAUCGCCAUAGAAAAAGACCACUGGAAAACAUCACACGUGCCAGCGCGUGGGAAAGACGUAGAAUCUUGCGAGGGCGCGUGAGUCUCACGCGCGUGGCUUUUUGGCGUUGGAACUGGACAGCUGGCCGACAACCCUGCUGGUGGCGGUGGUGAGAUUAAAGACAAAAAAAGCUAAGAGAAAAAAUGAAUUUAAAUGCUAAAAUCAGGAAAAAAAAAAAGUUCUGAUACCAUGAAGAAUUUGGGAAGGAAUUUUUUAUUCUAUUCCAAUUGAAUUGAUUUUUACAAAGUUCGAAUAUUUAUACAUAAAGAAUCAAUCUAAAUUAGAAAUAUUUACAAUAAAAAUAAAAUCCUUUAAAUCUAGCCUAAUUAGGAUUCUAAAGAUUUGAAUCCUCCUAAUUAAGAACCUUCUAUGUUGAUCAACAAUAAGAUAUUGUUUGGAGCGUAAUAAGUUAGCAAGCAAAUAAUUAGUUGCCAUUGAAUGUGCUCACUUUUAAUAAUCUAUAGUCAUCUUUUUCUCAUGCUUUCAUUUUAUGCAG
RNAcentral lists this long non-coding RNA (2616 nucleotides) under Manihot esculenta (cassava). RNAcentral's name for it is "long non-coding RNA (MESC_LNC007573)". Lineage: Eukaryota; Viridiplantae; Streptophyta; Magnoliopsida; Malpighiales; Euphorbiaceae. The record is from RNAcentral.